Misgurnus anguillicaudatus (oriental weatherfish) is the source of this 572-nucleotide non-coding RNA. NCBI's taxonomy places the organism in Eukaryota, Metazoa, Chordata, Actinopteri, Cypriniformes, Cobitidae. The record is from RefSeq and is a predicted model, not a curated record.
CUUAAUAAUAACAGACAGGCGUGUUGGAGCUGAGUUGGAACUGCAGGAUGGUAGCUAACCAGGAACACCUGUUUACUCUUGGAGAAUUCGAGCAGUUGUAGAGCAGUAUGGUCAGUAAACUGCAGUACUGGGUUUGUCACCCCUGCCUGAGGACACCAACCAUGUGGUGAGAAGUAUGAGAGCGGCAUCUCCACCGGCAUCUGCCUCCGAUGUCAUCAAACAACAGCAGAGACGUGCCAGAAGAGAACACAAGGUUUUUAAAAAAUAAUUUUUUUUUUGGAUUAAAGAAAAAUUAGAAUUGUAAACUUUGGAUAGAAGUGAACGUAACAUGGCGGGUCUUUCUUGAACAUAAAUGAUGACAGAUUACAGGACUCUAGAAGGUGUGAAGCUGUGAUCAUCUUGCAGAAGUGCUUCUUCAUCCAUUGCCUGGUAGCAGUUUGGUACCAGUUUCAGCAGAUGGCGCUCACCUUUCCAAUCUCACGGCUCUUGGCUCUUAGCUUGUUGACCUGAGACUCUGCAAUAUCAGCGCGUUCCUGUGACUCCUCCAUCUCAUGCUGCACCUUCCUGUAUCU